This 255-nucleotide ribosomal RNA is filed under the name uncultured bacterium. Its description in RNAcentral is "partial 16S ribosomal RNA". It matches the Rfam family "Bacterial small subunit ribosomal RNA", at positions 524 to 776 of the family's 1533-position model. The record is from RNAcentral.
UACGGAGGGUGCAAGCGUUGUCCGGAAUCACUGGGCGUAAAGGGCGCGUAGGCGGCUCAUGAAGGCUGUGGUGAAAGUCCGGGGCUCAACCGUGGAACGGCUGGGCAUACUGGACGCCUUGAGGCACACAGGGGCGAGCGGAACAAGUGGUGGAGCGGUGAAAUGCGUAGAUAUCACUUGGAACGCCGACGGUGAAAACAGCUCGCUGGGUGUGAUUCUGACGCUGGAGGCACGAAAGCCAGGGGAGCGAACGGG